Molecule: long non-coding RNA, 697 nt
Organism: Dreissena polymorpha
Lineage: Eukaryota; Metazoa; Mollusca; Bivalvia; Myida; Dreissenidae
Exons: 2
Source: RefSeq, a predicted model, not a curated record
GUCAUACCUACUGCACCGAGUCGCAGAUAAAAGCUUCCAGUUUGUCUACCAGCGUUAGCAACUGUGCCGCGUUUCCUAGCAACGGGAACAGACGACACGAUCGUGCGGCUGUGCAUCUUCCGGGGCAUAGUGCGCAUGCGCACCCUUUUUCUUCACAAUGCGUUCGGGUGAGCUAUAACGGAACAUUUACACCUGACGACAUCCCCAAAAUACCUUCAUAUUCUCAAGCAUAAUUUAAGAUCACGAAAAGUUUGACUCACUUCAAAAAGCACCGGGACCGCCUCGCCGACGAAUAUCUCCGCUAUAGGCACCAUAAGGCCGACGACGACGACGCAUACCAUGUAGAGGGCGCUCCACAGAACACACAUCGUCUCGCAGAAGCUGGGAACAGGAAAGAAAUGUUCGCACAUUAAACAGCGGCAGCACAAUACUGUGUUCACCUACUGCUUGUCAUUGGUCGUCGUAUGAUUAAUGGGAGGUAGUGUCGCUUCGCUACGAAUAUUCUCCUUGAACAUAUAUCAUUGACAAUAAAUAUAAAAAUGUAUAGCUGGAUUAGUUUUGUUAAAAUACUUAUGUAUUCAACUUUGUACAAAAUAAACAAGUUUUUAACAGAAAAUAUAUAACUCAGCACAUAAUAAAGUAGGUUUUCUGAACGUCUAAUAAACAGUUAUACAUUCAACAUUGAAUGGCAAGUACA